CGUAGGGGGCAAGCGUUGUCCGGAUUUAUUGGGCGUAAAGAGCUCGUAGGCGGCUCGGUAAGUCGGAUGUGAAACCUCCAGGCUCAACCUGGAGACGCCAUCUGAUACUGCCGUGGCUUGAGUCCGGUAGAGGAGCAGGGAAUUCCUGGUGUAGCGGUGAAAUGCGCAGAUAUCAGGAGGAACACCAGCGGCGAAGGCGCUGCUCUGGGCCGGUACUGACGCUGAGGAGCGAAAGCGUGGGGAGCGAACAGG
This 252-nucleotide ribosomal RNA is filed under the name uncultured bacterium. Its description in RNAcentral is "partial 16S ribosomal RNA". It matches the Rfam family "Bacterial small subunit ribosomal RNA", at positions 526 to 776 of the family's 1533-position model. The record is from RNAcentral.